This 468-nucleotide ribosomal RNA is filed under the name uncultured bacterium. RNAcentral's name for it is "partial 16S ribosomal RNA". It matches the Rfam family "Bacterial small subunit ribosomal RNA", at positions 28 to 507 of the family's 1533-position model. The record is from RNAcentral.
GACGAACGCUGGCGGCGUGCUUAACACAUGCAAGUCGAACGGAAAGGCCCUGCUUUUGUGGGGUGCUCGAGUGGCGAACGGGUGAGUAACACGUGAGUAACCUGCCCUUGACUUUGGGAUAACUUCAGGAAACUGGGGCUAAUACAGGAUAGGAGCUCCUGCUGCAUGGUGGGGGUUGGAAAGUUUCGGCGGUUGGGGAUGGACUCGCGGCUUAUCAGCUUGUUGGUGGGGUAGUGGCUUACCAAGGCUUUGACGGGUAGCCGGCCUGAGAGGGUGAACGGGCACAUUGGGACUGAGAUACGGCCCAGACGCCUACGGGAGGCAGCAGUGGGGAAUAUUGCACAAUGGGCGGAAGCCUGAGGCAGCAACGCCGCGUGCGGGAUGACGGCCUUCGGGUUGUAAACCGCUUUCGCCUGUGACGAAGCGUGAGUGACGGUAAUGGGUAAAGAAGCACCGGCUAACUACGUG